GGGAAUUGUUAGCUUGUAGUCGCUGGAGGUGCGCACCUGGUGCUUGGCGGCGACCUGGCCCUUUGGCUUGUGCUUGCGCGAAGGGUACGGUUUGCGGCCGCUCGACACCGACGCCUCGGAGGACGUGGUGGAGUCGCCUCCGAAUCGGUGCCCAUUGCAGGUUGUUCUUUGCUCUGCACCUUGUGUACCUCCUGAUUCUUCCAAUCAGGGUCAACCCUCGUCAGGUCAGCGACCUCCUCGCGCAAAUAAAUAUUUUUUUCAGGGCCAAUUUUUUAUUUUCUUUCCAAAUUGCCUUGUAAAUCCGGUUUUUUGAUUACUUAGAAAGUUUAAAAUUUGUUUUGCUGGAUAAAAACACCCUGAGAUUAAACCCAAAAGAUUUCAGAUCUGUCACCUACGUUGUUAAGAAAAAUUUAAUUCAGUAUAAAUUUGUGAAAAAUAAUUUUUUUUCACCUCCACAUGAAAAAAACCAGCGUUACUAAAUUUUGAACCCUUUCAAAUGAGGCCCGUAGAUAAUCAGGGGUCUAAAAUGUCGUAGAAAGGUUAAAAUGCACCCUGAUAUCAGGUUAAUAUUAUUUCAAACCAACAUUUAAAAAUUGUUUAAUUCUUCCUUAUUUAAAUAAAAAUUUUCUCACCUGAAGACGGCCGCCUUUCCGACAUCAACGACCUGGUCCUGAGGCUGGUCAAUGGCCAACAACGUCCAGGGGAAAAUCGCCAAAUUGAGGGUGCAACAAAUUAAGCUGAGCGACGACCGCAGCUGAAAAGUUCCCGCGUGUAAUUGGCCAAUUUUUAGCAGUGAAUAAUUUUUAUUAGAACUGGAAAUUUGGCAAAAUUCGGCUGCGGAAACAGUUCACACACGACUCUUGGGUCUUGCCACCUGCCAACAAAUUCUCUAUCCAUCUAUUUUUUUCUCAGGGCAUUUAAUUUUCCUUAAAAUAAUUUCUUUUUUACCUUUCAGUUGGUACCCUGACGACCGCGAGCAAUUGCUGCCGCGGUGAUCAGCGGUUCUCCCUGGUGGCGCCAGGUCUUUUAAGAAUCUCAAAGGUUCGUCUGGAGGAUCGCGGAAAAUAUUUGUGCUGGCUGAAAAAUUCGGCUGGCGAGGAGACGUUAAAAUUGCAGGUGGCGCUGAGUACAGGGUCGACCCACGUGUCCAGCCUCAGCACCAGGUUAUCGACGUCGGAGAGGCGGCCGUGUUCAGGACGUUCAGACACGUGGUUAGCUGUUGCGUGAGGAGCUCGCUGACCUGUCGAGGGUUGACCCUGACCGGCAGAAGCAGGAAGCAGCCUUUGGGCCCUCCGAUCCGGCUCGACACGUCCUCAGCAGACAGACCUCCGGUCCGGCGGCCGCCUCGGCGAGACAUUCGCGUUUUUGCUUCGCUUCUUUUGAAUUAUGUCGAAAAAACCGUGAGCGGAUGUUGAACAAAUCGCGAAAAGUUUCACUGGAAUCGAUCUCAGGGUGCGGUAACCUGUCAAAGGUCGUCAGUAUAUCAAUUUUUUUGGCUAUUUCUUAAAUUUAUUUUUAAAAUUGGUGUUUUUAGAUUUGAGAUCUCUUUGAUUACACACGUAAUUAAAUUUUAGAUAAUUUUCCAGCUAAAAACGCACAUUUGUCAUGUUUCAAGGAAGGAAAUCACAAAUUACAGCUAAAAAUCCGGUUGUUAAAUUGAUCAAUACAAAUAAAUACGUGUGUAUUAAAGAAUUUAGAUAAAGGCUUCAUUAAUUACCAUCGACUCUUUCAAUGGGAACAUAGCAUGAUUUUUAAUUAAUAAAAAAAUAAACACUUCAAAGUUAGAGGUAACUGAAUUUAAUUUUCCUCUUUGAGUCUUUUUCAAAAUAAAACUGCCAAUUUCUAAGAUUUGAGGCAAUUUAAAAUUAAAUAGGUCAAAUUUAAGUUUUUAAAAUAAAUCUUGAUUAUAAAAAAUGAAUAGAAUGCCAAAUCUCAGGCGAAUGUGUAGGUUGCGGCUGCACCUUUGCCGCGGAAGAGAAAGACUAAUUCGCUUUAUUCGCCAACUGAUGUGCCGAAACGAUUCCUC
This is a long non-coding RNA of Cloeon dipterum, 2026 nucleotides long. RefSeq lists it as uncharacterized. The transcript has 3 exons. Lineage: Eukaryota; Metazoa; Arthropoda; Insecta; Ephemeroptera; Baetidae. The record is from RefSeq and is a predicted model, not a curated record.